RNAcentral lists this ribosomal RNA (358 nucleotides) under uncultured bacterium. RNAcentral's name for it is "partial 16S ribosomal RNA". It matches the Rfam family "Bacterial small subunit ribosomal RNA", at positions 338 to 710 of the family's 1533-position model. The record is from RNAcentral.
CCUACGGGCGGCAGCAGUGGGGAAUAUUGGUCAAUGGGCGCAAGCCUGAACCAGCAACGCCGCGUGCAGGAUGCAGGCUUUAGGGUUGUAAACUUCUUUUCUCAGGGACGAAGAAAGUGCCGGUACCUGAGGAAUACGCCACGGCUAAAUACGUGCCAGCGGCCGCGGUAAUACGUAGGUGGCACGUGUUAUCCGGAUUUUUUGGGUGUAACGGGCGUGUAGGCGGGAGUGAAAGUCAGAUGGGAAAACUUAGGGCUCAACCCUGAGCCGGCAGUUGAAACUGGGUUUCUUGAGUGCGGGAGAGGCAAUCGGAAUGCGGGGUGUAGCGGUGAAAUGCGUAGAUAUACGGAGGAACACC